AUGAUGGAUGAGGGUGUCAUCAAUGGUGGAAGAUCGGACAUGGAACCUGCAGCCACUUUUGGUCAUGGGAUUUCGACGCGAUUCAACAGUGGUAUGCCCUUGAACCACACCCUGCCAGUCAACACAUCCACGUACGGGCCAAGCCUGUUGGCCAACUACAACAGAGGGGAAUCCGUGUACGAACACAUCAACACUAAAGACAAGUUUGCUUUCAAGAGACCCACAAUUCGUUGAAUUCUUCACGAGGGAUGGCUCCGGAAGAAGAAAACUAUCCGAUCACCACAUGUUCAAAACCUCAAGAGAAAACCCAGUCUCUUAUAUCUGCCGAAAAGGAAUUUAUUGGCCAAAAAAUGCAAAAUAGGGAUGAUGACUAUAUGAAUGGAUCACUGAAAAUAUCGCAUCUCAAACCUUUUAACUGGUGCAAAAGGAUAAAAUUUGACGUCCCACUGGUCAUAUCAAAAAGUUAUACCAGGACGCAAUAAAACGAGUACGGGAAUUACGCUGAUACGUUGGACCGAGAUUCGGUCACAACGAAUCAUGGUUGCAGAGGUAUAUAAAACCUGUAGACGAUACAUUGUAGCACCGAAUAACCAUAAUCGUGAACACAUGCAGAUAAAUACAAGCGACAUUGUAGUCCAUUCAUGAUCCCGAAAAUAACGCAAGGACGUGUCUAUGAAUCACUAUCAAAUAGCGAUAAUACAGGUGUUCGCGAAGCAAGAUGUUGUUUCGUAAACUGCCACUGACAGUCAUGCAUUAGCAAAUUGCGCCGACUAAGACUCCCUUUCUGACACACACAGUGACAGCGUAUUUAUUUUAGCGAUGAUGUCAGUUUACAUCAACAGACAAAUAAAGCGUCGUAAAUUGCCAAAACUAAGUUGGGUUUAUCGAUGAUUAACAAGUGUAGAAUGUCUAUUCGUUUUCACAUGGAGAGGAUACAAGGCAUGUAUGUGAGAACUGAGUGAGAUGACGUAUUCUGGGACGUAAAAUGCCCGCAGCACCUAUUGUGUGACAUGGCUAAUCGUCAAUAACCAUUCCUCGAAGACAUGAAUCGUUGUUCAUGCUAUCAACGACUGGUUUCUAUACUGAGAAGUAACACGACAUUACUCAAUAUAUGCCUGUGUUAACCAAGCAGUGAAUGGGUACCCGGUUGGAUGAGAUGGUAAUAUGGCUGUUGACCUUCAAGCGCCUCAUUAUGUACCUUGGGUUGCCUACUCCCCUGUGAUCUGGUAAUUAAAUUGGUGUGAAAACUGAUCCAUUGACUGGGGUCCUGUAUGACAUAAUAAAUAUGCUCAUUAUUAUUAUCAAUAUUAUUAUUAUUAUCAUCAGAUUAAAAUGCAGCAAAGAGGGUUUGGGUGAUCCUGGCACAGUUAGGCUCAUCAUCAGCUCAGG
Haliotis rufescens (red abalone) is the source of this 1389-nucleotide long non-coding RNA. RefSeq lists it as uncharacterized. The transcript has 4 exons. The record is from RefSeq and is a predicted model, not a curated record. Lineage: Eukaryota; Metazoa; Mollusca; Gastropoda; Lepetellida; Haliotidae.